Molecule: unclassified non-coding RNA, 3443 nt
Filed under: Hevea brasiliensis (rubber tree)
Lineage: Eukaryota; Viridiplantae; Streptophyta; Magnoliopsida; Malpighiales; Euphorbiaceae
Source: RNAcentral
CCCCCCCCCCCCCCCCCUUUGAUUCAAACUUGCAGACUCCAAUAUGAGCUCUUAAGUAUUCAUGCUUGCUCAUGGAAAGUGACUUUGUAAGAAUAUCAGCUGCUUGCUCAUCUGUACUGCAAUACUUCAAGGCUACUACUCCAUCUUUUACAAGAUCACGAAUAAAGUGAGUCCGAAUGUCGAUAUGCUUCAUUCUUCCAUGAUGGACUGGAUCUUUUGACAUUGCAAUUACAGCCUUGUUGUUACAAAACAUUUCAGUUGCUUCUUUUUAUUCCUGACCAAGAUCUGAUAAAAGUCGUCUCAACCAGAUUGCUUGACAUGCUAAUGAAGUUGCAGCCACAUUUUCAGCUUCUGAGGAUGAUAGUGCAGUGGUUGCUUGUUUUUUUGAGCUCCACGACAUUGCUCCUGAUCCAAGACUGAAAAUGUACCCUGAAGUGCUUUUCCUAUCAUCCAUGCAGUCUGCCCAAUCACUGUCAGUAAACCCAAGUAAUUUGUGAUUUGAUUCAUAACCAUAUCAUAUACCAAAGUCAAUUAUUCCUGCUACAUAACGCAGAAUUCUUUUUGCUGCUCCAAAAUGAUGCUUUGAAGGAUUACUCAUAAAUCUUGAAACAACACCAAUAGAGAAUGAAAUAUCUAGCCAAGUAUGAGCCAAAUAAAUCAAACCUCUAACUAAGCUUCUGAAACUUCUUGCAUUAGCUUGCUCAGUACCAUCUUCAAGCUGCAAUUUUUCAUUCACAUUCAUGGGUGUAGCAGCAAAUUUGCAAUUGACCAUGCCAAACCUUUUGAGUAGGUCUAAUGCAUAUUUAUUUGCGAAACAAAUACUCCAUCUUCACUUUGCUUCACUUCAAGCCCAAGAAAGUAAUGCAACAAACCCAGAUCUGUCAUCUCAAAUCUACUCAUCAUACUAGAUUUAAAUUCAGCUACAAUAGAGUGAGAUGAGCCCAUAUAAAUUAUGUCAUCAACAUAGAGGCAUACAAUAAAAAAGUCAUUGUUACCUCACUUUCUCAAGUCAAGAGUAGGCUCAUUUUCACUCCUUUCAAAUCCAUUCUGCAGAAAAUAUGAAUUGAUCUCGCUUUACCAUGCCCUCGGCGCUUGCUUCAGCCCGUAUAGCGCCUUAUUCAGCUUGUACACUUUUUCUUCUUCACCAUUGAUCACAAAGCCAUCAGGUUGAGCAACAUAAACCUCCUCUUCCAAUUCACCAUUCAAAAAUGCAGACUUGACAUCGAGUUGAUAGAUAGGUCAUUUUAAUUGGGCAGCCAAGGCCAAAAGCGUUCUCACUAUUUCAAAUCAAGCAACAGAAGAAAAUGUCUCUUCGAAAUCGAUGCCUUGCUGUUGUGAGUAACCCUUCGCCACAAGAUGAGCCUUGUGCUUCUGUACAUUUCCAUCUACAUGGUACUUUGUUUUGAAUAUCCACUUUAAGCCAACAACAUUUUUUCCAUUGGGCAAGUUUGUCAACUCCCAUGUUUCAUUUCUUUCAAUUGCCAUGAGUUCUUCCUUCAUUGCUUGUUGCCACUCCUUCACUUUUGCUGCUUCUUCAUAAGUUGUAGGAUCUGAAACAAAUAAGGCAAAUGCACAAGAUUCAUAGAUCUCUUGCAAAGAUCUAAAUUUCCUUGGAGGUUUCUCAUCGGAUGACUCAUUUGAAGAAGAUAAGUUGCUGUCUUUUGAACUUGAACUUAGUGAACUUGUUGGGCUACUAUUAUUUGAAGUUGCGGGAGAGGAAUUUAUUGAAUUUGCUUGUGUAGGAUCUGCUACUUCAUUCAAUGAAGCUUCAGGUUGAGUUUUAGUAUUGCUGCUACUCCAAUUCCAGCUUGCUUUUUCAUUGAAAAUAACAUUUCUGCUAGCUAUCACUUUGCCUCUAAGAGGGUUAUAUAACCUAUAUGCUUUGGAUUCAAGACAAUAACCAAUGAAAAUACAUUUUUCUGAUUUUGCAUCCAGUUUUUGGUGAUUUUGAGAAUUAACCAAAGCAUAAGCAAUACAACUGAAAAUUCUUAAGUGGCUUACCAAAGGCUUUGUACCUCUCCAAGCUUCAUAUGGUGUUUCAUUCAAGACAACCUUUAUAGGAGAAAUAUUUAGCAAAUACACUGAAGUAGCAAUUGCUUCUCCCCAAUACUGAUUUGGAAGUCCCUUGCCUUUUAGUAAACUCCUUGCCAUUUCUACAGCAGUAUGGUUCUUGUGUUCAGCCACCUCAUUUUGCUCCGGUGUGUAAGGUGCUGUUAGUUCUCUACAAAAUCCAUUUCCUUCACAAAAGUGGUUAAAUUCAUUGGACAAGAACUCACCACCUCUGUCCGUAUGGAGAGCUUUUAUGCAGUUUCCGCUUUGCUUCUCUACUAAAGCCUUGAACUUCUUGAAGUUCUCAAAGGUUUCUGAUUUGUAUUUCAAGAAAUACACCCAGCUCAUGUGACUGAAAUCAUCUGUAAAGAGGAAGAAGUAAUGACUCCCUCCAAAUGACACUGUGUUCAUUGGACCACACAAAUCUGCAUGAAUUAACUCAAGACAAGUAGAAGCUCUCUAAGCCUUUCCAACCAGAAAUGAAUUUCUGGUUUGUUUCCCAUAAAUGCACCCCUCACAUAAAUCAAAAGAGUUAAUUUUUGGCAAUCCAAGAACCGUACCUUUUUGACCCAGCAACUUUAGCCCUUUGAAAUUAAGAUGCCCAUACCUCAAGUGCCAUAAUUCAGAGUCACUUUGUGCACCAGCCACCAAAGCAAAAUUUUCCACAUUUAAGACUUCAAGUGGAACCAUUUUGUUUUUGGUCAUGCGGACAUUAACCAUUAUUUGGCCUGAUUUAUUAUCUUUAAUAACACAUGAUCCAUCAUCAAACAAAACUGAAUAUCCACUAGCCAUUAGUUGCCCAACACUCAAUAGAUUAUGUGCCAAACCAGGAACAUACUGAACAUCAUGCAAAAAUUUUACUUUACCAUGGCUAGUUUUGAUUGCUACUGUGCCCUUUCCUUCAACUUGAAUAUCUUUGUUAUCACCAAGCUUGACUUUCAUCUUUUGAGUCUCAUCAAGCUCUUUGAAUAUCGCCUUCAUGCCCGACAUAUGAUUAGAGCAGCCACUAUCUACAAACCACACAUCACUUGAAAUUUCAUUAGUAUCAUAAUGAGCCAUGAAUAACUUACUUUCUUCAUCACUUGCCUCUGCAUAAUUCACUUGUUUCUCCUUAUACCAGCAAUCAGCUUUUACAUGCCCAUACUUCUUACAAUUGUGACAUUGGAUGCCACUCUUUUUGCUUUUUUGCUCAUUACUGGAAUGUCGUUGGUCAGAAACUCUGCCUCUGCCUCGACCACAACCUUUUCCACGAAAUGCACCUUUACCCCGUCCUCUUCUUGUUGCAUUGUCAGAUUCACUUGAAUUGGAUGCCUCCCCCUUCACUUGAAAUGCUUUCUCUUCAUGUUUUUCAGCUGAUCUAUUUAUCCUUGCCUCAUGAGCUUGCAAAGAACCCA